CCUUAGGAAGGUCCUAUACGGGAUGUUGCUAGGCAACUCACCAGCUUCCGUCGGAUCCAGCCGCGCGUCAUCGCCGCCCGCCGAUCUCUGUCGCCCGCAGCCUCCGCCGCCCGCCCGGAUCGGAUAACCAAGAAAAGUUACCACUAUAAGCCUAUAUUAAAUGGCUUUCAUGGCUUUAUGUAAGUAAAGUUUGAUUAAUGCCGAUUGAAAUGUUAUUCGACUUUCUAAAUGACUAGUUGUCUAUAACAAUGUAUCAUUCGGAACAAUCCUCUGUGAAGCAAACAUAAUAAUAGUAAAACUCUCUUUCCUGUCUUAGAAUCCAGGUGGUUUGUUCUUUUAGGCUAUGUUCACACUUAUUUUCCUGCCAGCAUGCUGCACUACUUGCGCUAUUCUUCCCAUAAUGUCAGUGUGAACAGAGCCUCAGUUAGAGUGAUACACUGUAUCAAACUCCAACUGUGAGAAAGUAGGAUAAGGUGAAUAUACAUUUUCAGCUACUGAAAAAUUAAACACAUAGUAUAAGAACGUUUCACAACUGUUCACUGUGAUAAAGAUUUAAACAAGUCUGGAAAUCAUAAACCUGGAAGACCCCUCGAGGCUAAGUUUUCACUUGUUUUUUUUUCUGGCCAAAAAAAAUGCCAGAAAAAACGCCACGGCAUUUUCCUGCGUUUGGCAUAUUUUUUCUUGCAUUUUUGCUUUUUUUGUGGAAAUUGCAUUUUUGGCCUCUUUGGAGUUUUUUAAAGAAUUUUGUUUGUGUACCAAAAAAAUAAAUUAAAAUAAAUUAAAAUAAAGAAUGCAGUAGGAAUGGAAAAAAUUGUAUUUAACAGGACCUAAAAAUGUAGCCGGCAAUAUUAAAAAUGUAUAAAAGGGCCAUUUAAUUGUAAAAAUAAUAUAUUUUUUUAUAAUUAAUUUAAUCAAACUAUUUAUUAGUAAUGUAGUUUAAUUAUGUGUUUAAUAAAGUGUGUAUUCAAUUUUUAACUUUUUUAACUUUUUUAAUUUUUUAGGUAGUACUACUACUCCCAGCAUGGAACAGACGGUUCCAUGCUGGGAGCAGUAGUACCUGUACUAAUAGACAGAUUGCUCUGGGUGUCACUUCUGACACCCAUUGCGAUCCUCCUAUAUAAUCUAUGUUGCAAUAAUAUAUCACUAAGUAUCCAAAGAAAUAUGAUGAUGGGGCAGAGCCUAGAAGCCAUGCUGAGCAGCAGCUGAAAAGAGGAGCUCUGAUCUUUCACCACUAUACAGCGACAUUUGAUCUACUCAAAACCUCUAAAGGGUCUCCAUUUAUACAGAAAUUGAAGGAGGAUCUCAUGAGGAACACAUAGAUACCAUUUGUGGACAUAUUUGAGUAAAGAUCGCAACUUUAUUCCUUUAAUAACCUGCCAUGCUUGAAGAGAAGACCUGUCUCGCCUACCCAGCCACAGUACAAGGUAGGAGCCGACCCGGCUAUAAACAUAUCAUACAGAGGAGAUAGCAAGAGAUAGCCACAGCAUAUUAUAGCCCUCUUUUGCUGAAUCGUGGAGAUUACACUAACAUAAGGCGAAAAAGCCUGCGAAAAUCCGCCAUUAAGGUACAGGGAGGUGGGCAGAGAAACCAGAAGAGAAGGAGGCUAACCGGAAGUCAGGCAUUACUGCUCACCAGAGCUUCUAUACACUACAGGACUGUAUUUACUAACCGGUCUGAGCCUCAACGUUCCCUGCAGAGCCCUAAGAGUGACAGGAGCCUUGGUAUGAAGAUCACUGACAGAGUGGGUAUUCAUGUAAACCAGAGAUUGUGAGUACAGCAGCGCAAAUUCACCAGCGCUAUUUCACUACCAGCAAAUUAACCCAGAGCUUGCCUCCACAUAAUACCAAUGCUUGACGACUAAUACUAGCUCAGAGACAACACUGUAUAGAGCAAUUUCUUUAAUCACCGCCUACUAUUGAGUCCAAAUGGACAUAAGACUGCACUAUUAACCAUAUAGCUGCCGUCUCAGACCCACAUCUUACAUUUACUGGUGUAUCCUAUCCCAUACUCAGAUUGCAUUAUUUGAAAUAUAAAUAGAAGCUCCAUCGUGACUUAAAUUUAACUUUAACUCUUUCAUAUUCUCCUACAAGGAUACUAUUGUGCUACAGAACUAUUUGCACUAUUGUAUCAACACUAAGGGUACCUACAACACUACUAACCUGCUGCAAGACCCUAUUUUAAGGAAUUUAUUUAUUCUUUCUGCUACUAGUAUGAGAGGGAGAGGCUUUCAGACACCAAGAAAGAGCAAUAGACUACUGGAAUCUUCCCAAACCCCUCUUAACCACAAUUUGGGGGAAUUCAACCUUUCACAGAAAGAAAAUACAUUUUCCCAUAAAAGAACCAACCACCUAAGGACUUCUCUUUUGAAUCAAAAAAUAGAUAUAGUCCCCUGGCAUCAAUCAUGAAAGGUUCACAUAAAAACAAACACCCACCAUCAGCUCCUUCGUCAUCUAAUACAAUUCCGGUUAAGCAAAAAGCAAGACUCAUGGAUAAUGUAGAUAGUGAACACUCCACUGAAUCAAACAUCUCAGAUCCACUAGACUCAAUGUUAAAAUCUGGAAAUAUAGCAACAGAACACUUUAUUAAAGACGGUAUACUUUUGCUCAAGGACUCGUUUACUAAAGAAAUACAAAAAAUUGUUGAAACAACUAAUAGCUCAUUUACCCAAGUAUCAGCCAGAAUUGAUCAGAUAGAAGAAAAAAUAGAAGAUCUUAAAGAUGAGCAAUCACAAAUAUAUUCAGAACUUGAGAAUUUCUGCGGCAUACCAAAAGAAAUAACUGGGACCUUUCAUUAAGGACUAUACAAAAAACUUACUGCCAAACUGCCCGGAAAUAGAGCUUGAGAGACAGAGCACACCGUUUGCCAAGACCCAGAAAUUUGGACCCCUUACUUCUUAGAGACGCAAUUGCAAGAUUCCACUUUUUUGGCACUAAAGAAAGACUUGUGGCAGCUUUAAAAAAGAAUCCAGCACUACCGGCAGAAUACAGAGAUAUAACAUUAUUUAUGAAUUUGCCACAAUACACAAUCCAGACAAGGAGGACAUUCUCACAAAUCACAGCCACGCUCCGCAAAAACAAUAUUCCAUACAGAUGGAAAUUAUCAUCCCGGAUGGGAACUCAACCAGGAUAAUAUCUACGGUUAACCGGGGUAUUGACUUAUUAUCCAGAUGGGAUCUGAUUCCAGAACAGCCUCCACCCAACAGAACUACUCAGAGGAACUGAUUUCUACAGAUUUCCUGUUGCUUCAAUGGUUUGUAGCAUUUCUAACAAGCAAUACAAAGGCCUCAUGAUGUCUCCUUCCUUUAUGGUUCAUCAUAGACUCUUAGUAUUUUCAACUUAAUUUCGUUUUCCUCCUUUCCAAUAGGAAUCUUCCCCUGAUUCUUGCAGCAAUAAGCUGCACCUUUAUCUCUUCUUCCUAUCCUACUUCUGAUUCUAUUUGACCUAUUCUACCACUUAUUAGUAAGUACUUAUUACAAACUGUUCUGUAGUAAUUAAUAUUUGUUUGUGUUUUUUUUUUCUUUUUUCCUUUGUUUUGUACACAACCAGAUUGGGAUCAUCACAGCCUGGAUUGGGACCAUCUUCAUUAACCUGUUCAGGACCCAUGACGUAUGCAUACGUCUUCACACCCUGGGUCUUAAGGACCCAUGACGUAUGCAUACGUCAUGGCGUUUUCCGGUCUCUGCCGCUCGCCGGGCAGAGAUCGGAACUGGAUGCCUGCUGAAAUCCUUCAGCAGGCAUCCAGGGCAAACGCCCAGGGGGGCCAUGUAGGCCCCCCAUGUCGGCGAUCGCCGCAAAUCGCAAGGGAAAUCGCCCUUGCGAUCUGCGGCGAUACCGGGCUGAUCGGGUCUCUGGGACCCGACCUCCCGGUAAUUUCGCAUGAUCCCGGCUGUCGCAGACAGCCAGGACCAUGCUGGAGUAUCGGAGCGAGGUGGCAAGCCGGCCACCUCCUCCGAUCCCCUGCGAUCUGUCGGUUAGUUAACCGACCAAUCGCAGGAGGGGGGGCGGUUACUUCCUCCCGUCCUGUCCGGCCCCUGAAAGUCCGGAGAGGACGGGAGGAAGACCGGAGGACGCGGCGGGGGACGGGGGAGUGCUGGGGACCGGCCCCGGUACUUACCUCGUCCCUGAAGACCCGGAUCCAGACGAUGAAGACGGCGGCGGCGGCGACAGGUGAGUA
Molecule: long non-coding RNA, 4173 nt
Organism: Hyla sarda
Lineage: Eukaryota; Metazoa; Chordata; Amphibia; Anura; Hylidae
Exons: 3
Source: RefSeq, a predicted model, not a curated record